CGAACGAUGAAGCCCUUCGGGGUGGAUUAGUGGCGAACGGGUGAGUAACACGUGGGCAAUCUGCCCUUCACUCUGGGACAAGCCCUGGAAACGGGGUCUAAUACCGGAUAAUACUUUCCUCCUCCUGGAGGAAGGUUGAAAGCUCCGGCGGUGAAGGAUGAGCCCGCGGCCUAUCAGCUAGUUGGUGGGGUAAUGGCCUACCAAGGCGACGACGGGUAGCCGGCCUGAGAGGGCGACCGGCCACACUGGGACUGAGACACGGCCCAGACUNAUACGGGAGGCAGCAGUGGGGAAUAUUGCACAAUGGGCGAAAGCCUGAUGCAGCGACGCCGCGUGAGGGAUGACGGCCUUCGGGUUGUAAACCUCUUUCAGCAGGGAAGAAGCGAAAGUGACGGUACCUGCAGAAGAAGCGCCGGCUAACUACGUGCCAGCAGCCGCGGUAAUACGUAGGGCGCAAGCGUUGUCCGGAAUUAUUGGGCGUAAAGAGCUCGUAGGCGGCUUGUCACGUCGGUUGUGAAAGCCCGGGGCUUAACCCCGGGUCUGCAGUCGAUACGGGCAGGCUAGAGUGUGGUAGGGGAGAUCGGAAUUCCUGGUGUAGCGGUGAAAUGCGCAGAUAUCAGGAGGAACACCGGUGGCGAAGGCGGAUCUCUGGGCCAUUACUGACGCUGAGGAGCGAAAGCGUGGGGAGCGAACAGGAUUAGAUACCCUGGUAGUCCACGCCGUAAACGUUGGGAACUAGGUGUUGGCGACAUUCCACGUCGUCGGUGCCGCAGCUAACGCAUUAAGUUCCCCGCCUGGGGAGUACGGCCGCAAGGCUAAAACUCAAAGGAAUUGACGGGGGCCCGCACAAGCAGCGGAGCAUGUGGCUUAAUUCGACGCAACGCGAAGAACCUUACCAAGGCUUGACAUACACCGGAAAGCAUCAGAGAUGGUGCCCCCCUUGUGGUCGGUGUACAGGUGGUGCAUGGCUGUCGUCAGCUCGUGUCGUGAGAUGUUGGGUUAAGUCCCGCAACGAGCGCAACCCUUGUUCUGUGUUGCCAGCAUGCCCUUCGGGGUGAUGGGGACUCACAGGAGACUGCCGGGGUCAACUCGGAGGAAGGUGGGGACGACGUCAAGUCAUCAUGCCCCUUAUGUCUUGGGCUGCACACGUGCUACAAUGGCNGGUACAAUGAGCUGCGAUGCCGCGAGGCGGAGCGAAUCUCAAAAAGCCGGUCUCAGUUCGGAUUGGGGUCUGCAACUCGACCCCAUGAAGUCGGAGUUGCUAGUAAUCGCAGAUCAGCAUUGCUGCGGUGAAUACGUUCCCGGGCCUUGUACACACCGCCCGUCACGUCACGAAAGUCGGUAACACCCGAAGCCGGUGGCCCAACCCCUUGUGGG
RNAcentral lists this ribosomal RNA (1377 nucleotides) under Streptomyces sp. KhCrAH41. RNAcentral's name for it is "bacterial SSU rRNA". It matches the Rfam family "Bacterial small subunit ribosomal RNA". The record is from RNAcentral. Lineage: Bacteria; Bacillati; Actinomycetota; Actinomycetes; Kitasatosporales; Streptomycetaceae.